GACGAGGGGUCCUAGCGUUGUUCGGAAUCACUGGGCGUAAAGCGUAUGUAGGCGGGCUUCUAAGUCAGGUGUGAAAUCCCAUGGCUCAACCAUGGAAUUGCAUUUGAAACUGGAAGUCUUGAAUGUGGGAGAGAUUGGUAGAAUACCUGGUGUAGUGGUGAAAUACGUAGAUAUCAGGUGGAAUACCGGUGGCGAAGGCGGCCAAUUGGCCCAACAUUGACGCUGAGAUACGAAAGCGUGGGGAUCAAACAGG
Molecule: ribosomal RNA, 253 nt
Filed under: uncultured bacterium
Lineage: Bacteria
Description: partial 16S ribosomal RNA
Rfam family: Bacterial small subunit ribosomal RNA
Source: RNAcentral